Lachnospiraceae bacterium is the source of this 136-nucleotide regulatory RNA element. It matches the Rfam family "Ribosomal protein L10 leader". From Rfam's summary of the family: This family is a putative r-protein leader autoregulatory structure found in B. subtilis and other low-GC Gram-positive bacteria. It is located in the 5' untranslated regions of mRNAs encoding ribosomal proteins L10 and L12 (rplJ-rplL). A Rho-independent transcription terminator structure that is probably involved in regulation is included at the 3' end. The record is from Rfam. Lineage: Bacteria; Bacillati; Bacillota; Clostridia; Lachnospirales; Lachnospiraceae.
AUUUUUAUCUGGUAACUGCCGAAGACAGUAGGUGCUGCAAAGCGUAAGGGUUAAAACGCCUACCGAGGAAGAGUUAAAUUCAGAUAUGGAUUUAUACCUCUGCGUCUUUUUGGCGCAGAGGUUUUUGGCAGCAUAC